GCAGCAGUGGGGAAUAUUGCACAAUGGGCGCAAAGCCUGAUGCAGCAACGCGCUGAGGGAUGACGCCUUCGGGUUGUAAACCUCUUUUAGUAGGGAAGAAGCGAAAGUGACGGUACCUGCAGAAAAAGCACCGGCUAACUACGUGCCAGCAGCCGCGGUAAUACGUAGGGUGCAGCGUUGUCCGGAAUUAUUGGGCGUAAAGAGCUCGUAGGCGGCUUUCGCGUCUGCUGUGAAAUCCCGGGGCUCAACCCCGGGCCUGCAGUGGGUACGGGCAAGCUAGAGUGCGGUAGGGGAGAUUGGAAUUCCUGGUGUAGCGGUGGAAUGCGCAGAUAUCAGGAGGAACACCGAUGGCGAAGGCAGAUCUCUGGGCCGCUACUGACGCUGAGGAGCGAAAGCAUGGGGAGCGAACAGGAUUAGAUACCCUGGUAGUCCAUGCCGUAAACGUUGGGAACUAGAUGUAGGGCCUGUUCCACGGGUUCUGUGUCGUAGCUAACGCAUUAAGUUCCCCGCCUGGGGAGUACGGCCGCAAGGCUAAACUCAAAGGAAUUGACGGGGGCCCGCACAAGCGGCGGAGCAUGCGGAUUAAUUCGAUGCACGCGAAGAACCUUACCAAGGCUUGACAUAGCCGAGAACGCUGUAGAGAUACAGAACUCUUUGGACACUCGGUUACAGGUGGUGCAUGGUUGUCGUCAGCUCGUGUCGUGAGAUGUUCGGUUAAGUCCGGCAACGAGCGCAACCCUCGUCCUAUGUUGCCAGCACGUUAUGGUGGGAACUCAUGGGAUACUGCCGUGGCAACACGGGAAGGUGGGGAUGACGUCAAAUCAUCAUGCCCCUUAUGUCUUGGGCUUCACGCAUGCUACAAUGGCCGAUACAAAGGGCUGCAUACCGCGAGGUGGAGCGAAUCCCAAAAAGUCGGUCUCAGUUCGGAUUGGGGUCUGCAACUC
This 944-nucleotide ribosomal RNA is filed under the name uncultured Leucobacter sp. Its description in RNAcentral is "bacterial SSU rRNA". It matches the Rfam family "Bacterial small subunit ribosomal RNA", at positions 348 to 1313 of the family's 1533-position model. The record is from RNAcentral. Lineage: Bacteria; Bacillati; Actinomycetota; Actinomycetes; Micrococcales; Microbacteriaceae.